CCUACGGGAGGCAGCAGUGAGGAAUAUUGGUCAAUGGGCGCAAGCCUGAACCAGCCAAGUCGCGUGAGGGAUGACGGUCCUAUGGAUUGUAAACCUCUUUUGUCGGGGAGCAAGGCCCGCCACGUGUGGCGGGAAGGAGAGUACCCGAAGAAAAAGCAUCGGCUAACUCCGUGCCAGCAGCCGCGGUAAUACGGAGGAUGCGAGCGUUAUCCGGAUUUAUUGGGUUUAAAGGGUGCGUAGGCGGAAUAUCCAGUCAGCGGUAAAAAUUCGGGGCUCAACCCCGUCGGGCCGUUGAAACUGAUGUU
This 305-nucleotide ribosomal RNA is filed under the name uncultured bacterium. RNAcentral describes it as "bacterial SSU rRNA". It matches the Rfam family "Bacterial small subunit ribosomal RNA", at positions 338 to 640 of the family's 1533-position model. The record is from RNAcentral.